RNAcentral lists this ribosomal RNA (398 nucleotides) under uncultured bacterium. Its description in RNAcentral is "partial 16S ribosomal RNA". It matches the Rfam family "Bacterial small subunit ribosomal RNA", at positions 356 to 743 of the family's 1533-position model. The record is from RNAcentral.
UGGGAAUUUUGGACAAUGGGCGCAAGCCUGAUCCAGCCAUGCCGCGUGCGGGAAGAAGGCCUUCGGGUUGUAAACCGCUUUUGUCAGGGAAGAAAUCUUCUGAGUUAAUACCUCGGGAGGAUGACGGUACCUGAAGAAUAAGCACCGGCUAACUACGUGCCAGCAGCCGCGGUAAUACGUAGGGUGCAAGCGUUAAUCGGAAUUACUGGGCGUAAAGCGUGCGCAGGCGGUUUUGUAAGACAGAGGUGAAAUCCCCGGGCUCAACCUGGGAACUGCCUUUGUGACUGCAAGGCUUGAGUGCGGCAGAGGGGGGAUGGAAUUCCGCGUGUAGCAGUGAAAAUGCGUAGAUAUGCGGAGGAACACCGAUGGCGAAAGGCAAUCCCCUGGGCCUGCACUGA